CCAAUUAUUGGAACAACACAAAAUAUUAGAUAACAGCAAAGCUAAGGAUGCUCAAAUUUUGAGUCUACAAGCUCAGCUAGGGGAAAAGAAGAAAUUGGAAAGGAACAGUUUCCAAACAGUGAAGGAGGUUUUUCCAAACUCAUCCCUAACUGAACAUGAGGAUGAAUUGGCAUUAGGCGAACACAGUCAGUUAUUCAGUCUACCACCUGACAGUGUGUUAAAGUUAAAUUCUGUUAGUGCUGCACUAAAAGAAUUGUUAGUAAUAAGUCCAUGCAGCGAAGGAAGUGAACAAUUGUGGGACCGUAUUUGGGCUGAAAAUGGGUGUGGUACGGAAACCCAGAAAUGGCAUGAGUUCAACAUCAAACAUGGAUUAGAUUUUAGCGGGGGAUCAAGUCAAGUCUGGAAGUGUUACAGGAUGGAAGAGUGAGCCUACAGUUGAAAAACACAGAAAGUGCAUUACCAUUAAG
Long non-coding RNA from Daphnia carinata, 467 nucleotides. RefSeq lists it as uncharacterized. The record is from RefSeq and is a predicted model, not a curated record. NCBI's taxonomy places the organism in Eukaryota, Metazoa, Arthropoda, Branchiopoda, Diplostraca, Daphniidae. The transcript has 4 exons.